Cavia aperea (Brazilian guinea pig) is the source of this 81-nucleotide small nucleolar RNA. Its record names the gene SNORD116. It matches the Rfam family "Small nucleolar RNA SNORD116". From Rfam's summary of the family: HBII-85 is a member of the C/D class of snoRNAs, which contain the C (UGAUGA) and D (CUGA) box motifs. HBII-85 is encoded in a tandemly repeated array with another C/D snoRNA, HBII-52, in the Prader-Willi syndrome (PWS) region of chromosome 15. Lineage: Eukaryota; Metazoa; Chordata; Mammalia; Rodentia; Caviidae. The record is from Ensembl.
GCAUUGGUGACGACACCCCAGUGCGUUCCUUGGAGCUGAACAUAGUGAACAAAAACUCCAAACCAUCAGGCAGAAAAAUGC